RNAcentral lists this transfer RNA (59 nucleotides) under Camelus dromedarius (Arabian camel). It matches the Rfam family "tRNA", at positions 7 to 64 of the family's 71-position model. Rfam says of the family: Transfer RNA (tRNA) molecules are approximately 80 nucleotides in length. Their secondary structure includes four short double-helical elements and three loops (D, anti-codon, and T loops). RNAcentral also lists the same sequence under 2 other names. Lineage: Eukaryota; Metazoa; Chordata; Mammalia; Artiodactyla; Camelidae. The record is from Rfam by way of RNAcentral.
AUAGCUCAGUGGUAGAGUGCCUGCUUAGCAUGCAUGAGGUCCUGGGUUCAGUUCCCAGU